Long non-coding RNA from Polypterus senegalus (gray bichir), 569 nucleotides. RefSeq lists it as uncharacterized. The transcript is spliced from 2 exons. NCBI's taxonomy places the organism in Eukaryota, Metazoa, Chordata, Cladistia, Polypteriformes, Polypteridae. The record is from RefSeq and is a predicted model, not a curated record.
AAUAGACAGCCUGAGCCUCCAUACUGUGAUGGGCACAGCAAGAUGGUAAGUGGGGUCUGAUGGAAGGAGGCUUUAAUGGCAGCCUGCCCUCUAAAUGGUGUUGACACGCAGAGGAGCCUUUAGCACGAGGUGGCAGGACUCUGUGAUGGACAAUUUUCAUUUGGUUUAGAUAAGGAGCAGGCUGUGAAAUGUGGUGAAUUAUGUGGUGAGAAUAAAAAUGUGAUUAUUUACUGUGGCAGCGAUCACACAACUAGAAAUCAUCUUCUCAAGGGACAGAGGAGACAGACAGGGAUGGAAAUGCACUCCUAAUUUGUCAUCUACGCUGAAUCCUUACAGGGAAUACACGAGAGAAUUAGGAUUUGGAGGAUUAUAUGGAGUAAGAAGAAGUAGAAGAGGAACAGGAUUAGGAGUAGGAUUUGGAGUACCAUAAGGAGGAUAAUCUUUCAGGACUUGGUAAACUGGCCAAAAGGACCAAACAGACCAAUCAUUGCCAAGAAAGAAGAAGUCAAAGAAUGUCUAUUAGUUUAAAAUAAAACCAAACCCAUUGCAGCAAACUAGCUGGCUCCUUG